GGGAAUAGCUCAGUUGGUAGAGCACGACCUUGCCAAGGUCGGGGUCGCGAGUUCGAGUCUCGUUUCCCGCUCCA
Molecule: transfer RNA, 74 nt
Filed under: Pseudomonas aeruginosa
Lineage: Bacteria; Pseudomonadati; Pseudomonadota; Gammaproteobacteria; Pseudomonadales; Pseudomonadaceae
Also listed under: 44 other names
Description: tRNA-Gly
Rfam family: tRNA
About the family: Transfer RNA (tRNA) molecules are approximately 80 nucleotides in length.
Source: RNAcentral